Molecule: small nuclear RNA, 107 nt
Organism: Choloepus hoffmanni (Hoffmann's two-fingered sloth)
Lineage: Eukaryota; Metazoa; Chordata; Mammalia; Pilosa; Megalonychidae
Source: Ensembl
AUGCUUUAUUCCAUGGCACAUGUACUAAAAUUGGAACGAUACAGAGAAGAUUAGCAUGGCCCCUGCACAAGGAUGACACACGAUUUUAUGAAGCUUCCUUAUUUUUC